GUGGGGAAUUUUGGACAAUGGGCGCAAGCCUGAUCCAGCCAUGCCGCGUGAGUGAAGAAGGCCUUCGGGUUGUAAAGCUCUUUCGGCCGGGAAGAAAUCGUGGUCUCUAACAUAGGCCAUGGAUGACGGUACCGGACUAAGAAGCACCGGCUAACUACGUGCCAGCAGCCGCGGUAAUACGUAGGGUGCGAGCGUUAAUCGGAAUUACUGGGCGUAAAGCGUGCGCAGGCGGUUUUGUAAGACAGAUGUGAAAUCCCCGGGCUUAACCUGGGAACUGCGUUUGUGACUGCAAGGCUAGAGUACGGCAGAGGGGGGUGGAAUUCCUGGUGUAGCAGUGAAAUGCGUAGAGAUCAGGAGGAACACCGAUGGCGAAGGCAGCCCCCUGGGCCUGUACUGACGCUCAUGCACGAAAGCGUGGGGAGCAAACAGGAUUAGAAACCCCAGUAGUCC
Molecule: ribosomal RNA, 450 nt
Filed under: uncultured bacterium
Lineage: Bacteria
Also listed under: 1 other name
Description: bacterial SSU rRNA
Rfam family: Bacterial small subunit ribosomal RNA
Source: RNAcentral